UGUCGUGAUAUCUACAUCUGGUGACCCCGACGUGAUUCAGAAAAAACACCCUCGUACCCACUGGCAGGAUCAGCCAACGGUGCACCUCAGCGUACAGCUCCCAUUCGUAGCUGCAGUACUGGCAGAAGUGACCAGGGAGAAACCGGUUCGUCAAGCUGUCGUCGAACGUACCAAUCGUACCCUUAAAGAGCAUUUGCUUAAACAAAAACAAAAAGGAGGAGUACCACUGGGAUUGGCCACCAAAGAGGAGUGGCUGGCACAAGUGUUGUUUACCAUUAAUCAUUUAAAUUUGUCUCAAUCUCCCAAUACUCAUUUUUCCUUUUCUACUCGAGCGCAGCGGCAUUUUCAGCAGUCGGAGUCUCUACCUGCCCCGCGGGUGCAGUUUCGGCAACUACCAAAUCCAGAGUGGAAAGGCCCAGUUCCGCUUAUAACGUGGGGUCGAGGUUACGCGGCUGUGUCUACGCCUGACGGUCCUGUGUGGGUACCUGCUAGGUGUAUCCGGCCCUGGAAAGACGAUGUCCUGGCACGAUAAUCUUAAGAAUCCCAUCCCUAAUUUUUCUCUGCAACUUCAGGAUACUGGGAUGUCUUCCAGGAAGCGUGGUCGGAAUGUUCCGCAACCUCCCGUGACUUGGGGCCAAAUAAAGAACUUAGCAACACAAGCAGAAAAAGCAAUGGAACAAGCCGGGGUGGACAAGACAACUGAGAAUACCAUUCUUGCUUUAAUUGCGUCUUUAAAUACAAAUUCUAUUUUUGUACUUUGCAUUUGUUGGAUUUUAGGAAGCGCCGGGGCUGACAGGUUGGGGCAGGAGUUGGGGAUGCGGUUUCAACACAAUAUCUGGGUUCAGUUAGCAAGAAUGACAAAUGUGAGUGACUUUUGCAUGACUGAACAUGUACAGGAAAUGGGUAUGUUGGGAACAUGUUUAAUACCCGUAUGCAAAGCACCUGGGGAUAUUGGGAACAUUACAGGACUUGGGCGGUUCAUGAAUACUUCAGAGAUUAAAUAUCAUACUGUUUCGAAUUGGGGAACUCCAACCUUCCAGCUGCCUGUUAAUGCUUUUCAAUUAUUUACAUCACAUGUUGCAAAUUCCAUUAAUAAUACGUGUGCU
Rhineura floridana is the source of this 1106-nucleotide long non-coding RNA. RefSeq lists it as uncharacterized. The record is from RefSeq and is a predicted model, not a curated record. The transcript is spliced from 3 exons. NCBI's taxonomy places the organism in Eukaryota, Metazoa, Chordata, Lepidosauria, Squamata, Rhineuridae.